Molecule: ribosomal RNA, 1077 nt
Filed under: Triticum aestivum (bread wheat)
Lineage: Eukaryota; Viridiplantae; Streptophyta; Magnoliopsida; Poales; Poaceae
Description: partial small subunit ribosomal RNA
Source: RNAcentral
AUGGCAUCCCGGGAACUACGACACUACUUUCAAGAGUGUUCAAUCACGGUGGCCUCUGAAGUACCAUUCAAUGACAUAAUAAACAACCGCGAUGCCAUGGGCCGGAUUGACAAGUGGGCCAUCAAGCUCCUCCCAUUCGACAUCACAUAUAAACCACGGCGAGCCAUUAAAUCCCAAGUACUGGCGGACUUCGUUGCCGAAUGGACAGAGGCCGAACUCCCUAAAGAGUACGGCACAUACUCCAACUGGAUCAUGCACUUCGACGGCUCUAAAAUGCUGGCAAGUCUGGGAGCAGGUGUUGUCCUCACAUCCCCCACUGGAGAUACAGUCCAAUACGUACUCCAAAUAUUAUACGCAGACUCCAACAAUGCAGCCAAAUAUGAGGCUCUGUUGCAUGGUCUUCGGAUGGCCGUCUCCAUGGGCAUUCAGCGCCUAGAAGUUCAUGCGGAGUCAAACCUUGCAAUAUCUCAAAUAAAUGGAGACUUCGAUGCCAAAGAUCCGAAAAUGGCGGCCUAUCGUAAUGCCGUCCUUAAGAUGUCAGCCCGGUUCGAGGGGCUCGAAUUUCAUCACGUGGUUCGAGAAAACAAUCAAACGGCGGAUGUCCUUGCCCGCAUCGGUGCUAAGCACGACCCUGUCCCACCUAACAUCUUUCUGGAAAGGGUUUUCAAGCCAUCUGUGGUGUGGCAAGGGGAGACCGGUAACAUCAGUCCGGAUCCGACGAUAACCCCAGACUCCGAACACACCGACAUAAUCGGGUGCUAUUCCACCGAAAUAACACCUUCGGCCCACCUCAUCAUGGCUGUUAUCGCCCUAUGGACCGAACCCUUCUUGGCCUACCUUAAUAGGCACGAACUCCCCGGGGAUCAAAAUGAGGCACACUGCAUUAUGCGGCGCUCUAAAGCCAACAAAGUCCAUGAGGGAGAGCUUUAUAAGAAAAGCGCUACCGGGGUACUUCAAAGAUGUAUCUCCGAGGAGGAAGUGCGGAAGCUCUUGGCUGAAAUUCAUGCCGGCCUCGGCGGUCAGCACGCCGCAAAUCGGGCCCUUGUAAGCAAGGCCUUCCAUACAGGUUUCUACUAG